Molecule: ribosomal RNA, 253 nt
Filed under: uncultured bacterium
Lineage: Bacteria
Description: partial 16S ribosomal RNA
Rfam family: Bacterial small subunit ribosomal RNA
Source: RNAcentral
UACGUAGGGGGCUAGCGUUGUCCGGAUUUAUUGGGCGUAAAGAGCGUGUAGGCGGCCAGAUAGGUCUGCUGUGAAAACUCGAGGCUCAACCUCGAGCUGUCGGCGGAAACCAUCUGGCUAGAGUCCGGGAGAGGAGAGUGGAAUUCCUGGUGUAGCGGUGAAAUGCGCAGAUAUCAGGAGGAACACCGGUGGCGAAGGCGGGUCUCUGGGCCGAUACUGACGCUGAGGAGCGAAAGCGUGGGGAGCGAACAGG